RNAcentral lists this long non-coding RNA (1828 nucleotides) under Prunus persica (peach). Its description in RNAcentral is "long non-coding RNA (PPER_LNC001447)". The record is from RNAcentral. Lineage: Eukaryota; Viridiplantae; Streptophyta; Magnoliopsida; Rosales; Rosaceae.
AAAGCACGGCCAAUUAAAUUUAGCAAAACUGGCAUUAAUUAUAAGCAGUGGUCUAAAGUCAAACACCCAACUUGUGCUUCAAUAAGCAUGCCACAUCCAAUGGUACCAACCAAGUGGAAAAAGUGGGUCUUAACAUUGCGAGUUUUGGACUGGCAGGAACUGUCUCGAAGCUUUUCACCAACUAUUUCCCGGCCUCUCUCUAUCCAAAACCAAAAGAAGAAUUAUUUGGAAUAAUACACAGCAUGAUUAUGAACCGAAAAGUCCAAUAGAGUACACCAAUUUGUUUUGGAUUUGGAUGAUGGUGUUCUAUCAAAUUCAAAAUAAGAAAAUAAACUUUGAUCACAACUCCAAAACACAGUUUCAUUCAAGUCAGCACAAAGAAGAAAAGAAUUGUGGUCAUAAGUUUAUAUGGGGCUGUCUUUUGGAUUUUUAUGUUGGUUUCCAAUGGUGUAAUCUUUUAGCGACUUGUAUUUGUGUUAAGAUAUGACGUGAGAAUGAAACAACAACAUGACAACAUUAUAAAUUAUAAGUUACACUUUUUUUUUGCACCAUCAAUGACAUUUUGAAUAAUCAACAGCACAAUAUAAUGAAUUUGGGAAAUCAUCCUUGCCUCUAGCCUUACAAAUCUCUGAUUCACCUACCCGCUAUGCUAACCAAAUCAAAGGAACCAACACAGCAAAAUUUCUUACUACUCAAGCACUCAAAAAACUUACUCCCAAGACCACUCCAAGUAACAAAAAAUUCAGUGAUGAGGACAUAAAAAUGGGGCCAUACAAAGCCUGUGAAGUUGAACACACUUACGAGGCAGGACCAUCUUCAGUUGCAUGAAUGAAAUCUAUCUUCGCAUUGUAGAUCGGGAAGCUGGUGAUGAAUAGUGAGUUUUCACCGGAGCAUCCUCCUUCCUCUCACCAGUUUUCCCAGGAGCAUCCUCCUUCUUCCUCUCACCAGCCUGUGGCAAAGUGCUUCCUUCUCUACGCUCCUCCCUGAGUGCAGUUUCAUAUGACUAAAUUAAAGUACAUGUUGAUUAUUACCGCAUAAAAAAACCAAUAUACUAUUAAUUACAGGCAUUUCAUUACUCCAAUUGUCAUUAAAUAAUUAAUUAAACUAGUUAGGUCGCCAUGCCUAAACCCUAAACCCUAAUUAACCAACUGUAGAAAGAAAUUAACAACUGUUAAUUGACUAACAGAAUACCUUUUCAACCGACGCCAAAGGACCUCAUUGACCUCAAUCUCAAGCACUUCCUUCUCAUCCUCAGACCCAUCUUCUCUAAAACCCGAAACAGCCGACACACAAGCCAUCGUUGGAGAUUGAUCCGAUUCCAGAUCGAAACACGCGAUGCUUUGCCAGGAAAGGGAAAACUUUCUGAGUUAUUAUGAGCAAAAUUUUAGGGUUUGGCUUUGAAGGCUGUUAUAAACGCAACGACAUGUUGGUUUGGGCAUUUUCAUUUUCUUGGGCUACAAAGACCGGGCAAUGGAGCUAACGGGUCUAGCCCAAUAGAAAAGGGUAUUGACUUGCAGACAAGAGAUCUCAAGUUUGAAUUCUCACGGCAUUAUAGUUGUAUGUGUGUGUGAGAAAUUCACCUUCCCUUUAAUUUAGAUUAUCACUUGUACUUAAAAAAAAAACAAUAAUUAGAUAAUUAGACCCAAGAUUUAUUUUUAAAUAUGCAGACUCGCCCUAUAUGUAAGUUUCUGCAAAAGAGCAGAAGCCUUCAGAAAGAGCACAACCCACAACAGGUCUGAGUAUCCAAAAUAUUCAUCACGUACAUCUAAGCACAACUCCAAUCGCUUAAGAUUCCCAAGUGGCGCUAUGUUUUCCGCAAUCUUGUCAU